AGCAGGAGGUUAUAUAGGCGAAUUGUCGGACUGAUAACACACAUCCGUGAUUCGUGAAUUGUAUUGAACCAGUCACUGAGUCACUGAACUAUACCACACUGAAUCAAUUCAUUCCUUUCACCUAAAAGAGUCAACUUACUCAUGAACUACCCACCUCCAUUACAAACGUUUUGUUUUUUGUGUACCUAUGUCUUAUACUAUUGGCAUAUUUAAAAAUAGUUAACUGCCAUAUGUUUAGUAAAAUGUUGUAUUUAUUUUUUUUAUAUUAACUAUUAGUACUUAUACCGAUGUGUUUUAUUACUAAAAAAAAAUUAUAGUUAUAAAAGGAAAGUUUUUGUGUAUUUUUUUUAAAUCCCCUCUUGUCAGAUCAAGAUCGAAUGUACAUUACUCAGGUAUAUAACAUUGUCAUAUAAUACAAUCUUAUUUGUCUUAAGCAUAGGUAGUAUAAAUAUUUGAUUAUAAUGUAGAAAUAAUUAGAUGUUUUAUAUUAUAUUAAUAUACAUUUUAAAUAUUUGUAGUUGUUUACGGAUUACUUUAAAAAUAGUUAAUAAGCAAGACAAUUGUGUUUAUAUUUAUUAAAUUGGAUGUUUUACAUAAUAUACUAUUGUAAAUUAUAUGAAUUGUAUGAAAGGAAUUGCCAGAAAGUAUUAGUAUAUUAUAAUAUUAUUUAGUUGUUUCCCUAAAAUGCUUAUAUUACAUAAAAUAUAUUGUUGUUAAAGGUGUGAAAUGUUUAGAAAUAUUCUAGAAGUACUAAACAUGGUGCUGUAUUACCAAAAGUGCAGUGGGCAUUUUAAAAUUCAAGGAAAUACUUAAACCGAUAGUUCUAUAAUGGAAGAAGACUCUCAGUAUGUAUAUUUAUUUUUUAUCUUCUGUUUCAGCUUAACAAACAAUCAACAUAGCAAAUCACAUUACUCAGAACAUAAAUUAUGGAGUUUAGAUUUAAGAAAUUAGAAUUUAAACACAAAUAACAAAAUUUAACUAGAAGAAUACAUUUGAAAACUUUACGUUGCUUUUAUUUUUAAAAAAAUGUAAAUAAAAAAGUUAUAC
Non-coding RNA from Cinara cedri, 1047 nucleotides. NCBI's taxonomy places the organism in Eukaryota, Metazoa, Arthropoda, Insecta, Hemiptera, Aphididae. The record is from the annotation of a GenBank genome assembly.